CGCAGGAAGUAGAUCUGCGGUUGGACGUUGAGGCCAAUAUCCGGCUGGCUAUCUGUUCUCUCGCGCCGGAAGUCCGAGCCAGAAGCGAUGGUCUCACUCGAAACGUCCUCGUAAUCCGAGCCCAAGUCCCACUUGACGGAAGGCCUUUUGGGCUGUGUGGAGGGCUCUGGCGGACUAGAAUCAGAAAAGCUAGCAAAGCGGAAUACCAUGAUGGAAGGACGAGGACACGGAGCGACUAUCUACACAGGAGCCUAAGGCGGAGCGCUGCGCGUUGCCAGGGAAACGUACAGGGCAGAGGGACCUGCAGGCGGACCUCGUGACAGUGUUUUGGCGUUCUUUGUGACUCUCAGCUGGGCGUGUUGCCUAGGAGACAGACGGGCGAGUGGGCGGGGCGUGCAGGCCAUGGGCAGAGCAAUGGUCCUUCCGGUUGCUUGGCGCGUUUCCGUGGAGACGGGCGGGUCCGCUCUGCUGCAGCCCACCCGGCUUUUCGGAGGCGUUUGGGAACUGCGCGAGUCCGACGAGGUACAGAAUCAGUCGCGGGGGUUCCUGUAGGCCCAGAACUGUCCAUUGUUCCGCGAGGAGAAGUCGUUGCCACUGAGAUCCGGAAUCAUGAAGGGCCCUCUCUGUUUUAGAGACGGUCGCCCGCGGCUCCGCCCUGCAGUUGCUUCCUGAAAGAUUUCCGGGGUACUGAGGGAAGGAGGGUUCAUAGCCUAGCAGAAAGAUGAAAGCUUAACACGUCACCAACUGUUGACCUCCACCUUGAUGACUUCACCUUGGAGUGCCUGCCCAGUUCAAUUCCCACAGCCCUCAAUCAGUGGCCUCUCACAGAUCACCAAGAGCCUGUUUAUCAGCAAUGGUGCGGCUGCCAACGACAAGCUCCUACUGUCCAGCAAUCAGAUCACCACGGUGAUCAAUGUCUCAGUAGAGAUAGCGAACACCUUCUAUGAGGACAUCCAGUACGUGCAGGUGCCUGUGGUGGAUGCGCCCAUCGCGCACCUCUCCGAUUUCUUCGACCCCAUCGCUGACCACAUCCAUUCGGUGGAGAUGAAGCAGGGCCGAACGCUGCUGCAUUGCGCUGCUGGCGUGAGUCGCUCGGCCGCCCUGUGCCUCGCGUACCUCAUGAAGUACCAUGCCAUGUCCCUCCUAGAUGCCCACGCUUGGACCAAAUCACGCAGGCCCAUCAUCCGGCCCAACAGUGGCUUUUGGGAGCAGCUCAUCCAUUAUGAGUUCCAGUUGUUUGGCAAGAAUACGAUGCAGAUGGUUAACUCUCCCAUGGGACUGAUCCCCGACAUCUACGAGAAGGAGACCCGUAUGAUGAUUCCACUGAGUACACCAGAUGGUGCUUUUCAUAAGGGCAAGGAAAAAGCGUUGCUAUGACAUUUACCCUCGUAAUCCAGCCAGGUUUGGUGGUACAUGCCUGUAGCCUCAGAUUGCUGAAGCAGGAAGAUGACAAGACAGAAUCUGACUUGGUAGCCCCAGCUGGCUUUGAACUCAUCACUCUCCCAGGAUGUCAGGGUUGCGGGCAUCACACCUGCCUCAAAGGUACUUUCAUGUCAGCGUCUGAACACACUCAGCCUCUGCUGCACACACACAGCAGUGACCUCUUGGCCUAUCCCCACGUUGCCCCUUCCCUAGCUGUGUAACAGUCACCUCUCUGCCUCAGUCUCCUUGUGGAGGGGGGCAGGAGAGCACUUACACUCCGUGUACAACUCUCAGCACUGAGGCCGACACCAUCCUCUGAAUCUGAGGACUGACGGGGAGUCUGCCACAGCCUGUGUCACAUCCAAGGAUGUCCUCUGCUGCUCUGUCACCAGCACUGUGGCUGGAGAGCUCCCUUGGCAGCCUUGUCAAGCCCCCCACCACACCUGUGCCCACCUUGCGCUCGAUACAACUUCUGUCUUGCUAAGUACAGCGCUCUACUCUCUGGGGACUCAAAGGAAGUUCUGAAACACAGGUGGCUACAGAAGACAGCAGGCUCGGCUGCUGGCCGGCACCUCAUUUGCUUGCCUCUCUGGGUCUGAGGGCAACACCAUACAGACGAUUCCGUACAUCCCCCUGUAUCUGCAGCCAGCCCAAGUAGAAAAGAAGAGGCUGUCUAGGGCUGCCUGAGCUCUCUUUCUGGACUCCUACCGACUGCUCUCAGGCCUUUCAGGGAAGGAGUGAGCUAGCACCGGUACACUCUCUGGCUGGCCCAAGAGCCCUUAGCAAAACAGACUUCCUCUUUUUAGAAACCCAUUCCUAAUCCUGGAUCCAGUCACUCUCCUCAUCUCUGCUAGGCUCCCAUUUGAUAGGGGAACCUCCAGCUCUCUAAGGGCUCUUUACCAACCUGACGUCAACUGGCAUCAAAACCAUCAAUUAAAGACAUCAUCUGAAUUUCUUCCCUACACCAGGCCCCAGGCCGGGGGCUGAGGACACAGAGAUGACCCAGCACACAGCCUGGGAACCAAAUGGCCCACAGCUGUCGAAGUAAAGGACACCCAAUGCGCACUCAGUGUAAGAAGUCGAGUCUUGGGGGUUGGAGAGAUGGCUCAGUGGCUAAGAGCACUGACUGCUCUUCCAGAGGUCCUGAGUUCAAUUCCCAGCAACCACAUGGUGGCUCACAGCCAUCUGUGAUGGGAUCUGAUGCCCUCUUCUGGUGUGUCUGAAGACAGCUACAGUAUAUUCAUAUACAUAAACUAAAUAAUUCUAAAAAAAAAAAAAUCUUAAAAAAAAAAAAGAGGUCCAGUCUUGAGAGAGAGAGGAAAGGAGCCAGCAGAAACCAAGAGGUGUCUGCCAGUCACAUGCUACUAUGAACAGACCUGAGCACCCUAAUGCCUGGCUGGCCACAGCUCCUCCUAUAGACAGGAGCUGCCCAGAGCCCAGUAUGAGGAGGACUUGGCUCUGGCAGGUGCAAUUGGGGCUGGAAGCUGGGCAUUCUCUGCCUAGUGUCCCUACCCAGAAAGGCCCUUCAGAGUCAGGUUUCUCUGAGCCACUUCAAGGCCCAAUUCAGGCCUCAGCUCAUGUAACCUGAGGGCUAAAAUAGAACUGUGUUUUCACCCUGCUCACGGCCUGGAGAGACAGUGACGGGACCUUCGGGGCCCAGAUGGAAGAUGCCAGGCAGGGCUAAGGCCUCACUUCGCCGUUCCUCACUGCAGGCUACACUAACCAUAGCUCAACGCCCCUGGGAACCCCUUACUUUCUACACGCUCCUCCUCCUUCCUUGAGUUAUGGUGGAGGAAGGGAAGAGCUAUGACUCAAAAGCCCCUCCAUGCUCAGGAGAUCAGCCUCCACCCCCGGCAUACUGGGGCUGGGUGGGGAAGGAUACCUUCCUUCUACCCUGAGUCCUGCUUCUGCCCACUCACAAGAGGCCAGCAUCCAGUCACUCAGACCAGACUUGGAAGUCCUCGUGACCCUGGGCCAAUCAUAAACCUCUUUGGCAGCACUCAGGAGGUUGAGUCAGGAGGAUCACAAGUUUGAGGCCAGCCUGAGCUUCCCUGCCCUGCCCCUCCCCCAGUAAAACACUCUCUUAUUCAUUCCAUCACCUCUGAUGUGAAGACAAAGAUGGGAAUUGCCAUGACAACCGAUGACCAACACCCAGAACCAGGUUCAUCACACUGCAGCUCCUGGUAAACGCUGCUUGGGCUCUGACAAACCCCUGUGUUCCCAACCAGCUCCAGACCCUUCUGCCUUUCCUUUUCUUCCCUAGAUUGUGCUCCCUGGCCUUCUGGAUUCAUAAUCCUAGGACACACAGCAUGGAGUCUGAAUACCACGCUCAAAUCGUGCCUCUGCUGUUCGCUGGCACAAGGCCCAGGUUCUGCACGUCUGUCAAGCGGGGAUAAUAAAGUGCUUGCUUCAAUGAGAGGCAGUAGGAUGGAGUGGGACAAAAGGACUCUCGAGUUAUAGAACACAGCUCACCAACAACUGUCAUUAACUAUGCCUCUAAGGCUUAAGUUUGAGGCCUGAACUCGCUGGAUCCUCUCUCCGAGCCGUGUCCGUAAAAGAGGAUCACUGCCACCCCCUCACAGCAACAAGGCGGCUACACACCCCACCUCCUCAGAUGGCGACCCAGGCACUCACUCUGUUGAACAGACUUGAAGCCUCGGAGACAGGUGGCCACCAGCAAGAAGCCACAACCAGCAGGAGGUGCCCGGAGCUCUCCAGCCAGACUGCAUGCAGCCCCUAGGCAGAGCGGACCCAUGGCAGCAAACUGCAGGGGAUGGUGUCUUCGGCCAAGCAGCAACGCGGACAAGGCCAAAGUGAACAGUGGUGUGGUGGUGGUGGCUAGCUGUGCUAGGUCCAAGGGGACAGUGCUCAGGCCCACGUUGCCACACGCCAUGGAGGUCCCGAAGGUGAGGCUGAGUAACAGCACCCUGCGGUGGAUGCUAGGGGGCACGGGUCGCUGGGCCCCCCAGUGGCAUGCCACAGCGGCUGCCAGCAUGUGCAGGGCUGACAAUAACAGGGGCCGUCCGAAGCCAUGCACUGUGAAGAUCCACUUGUUGAGACUUGACAUGCUGGCUCCUGCCAACAGCCACACCAGUGCUGCCACAACCACUCUUGCCGGAGCAGGCUGCCCAAGGACUUGAGGUUUGUCAGGAGGCCACUUGGGACGGCCAUGCUCCUGGGCACUUCCAGCCACAGCAACUGCUUCGGCUGAGGUCAUCCUGACUUCAUGGUGCUCCAGUGGGCAGCGGCACAUCCGCACCAGUAGGGCUGGGGCAGGAAGGCAGGCUUUUCCAGGGACUCGCUGAGCCAGGUCCUGAUUCCUCAGAUAGGAGAGGGCACUGCUUCAGGUGCUAGACCCUGAGCCAGCCGAUAAUUCUGGUUCCGUCAGAGAAGAACCGAGGUCGUGGCUGCUGAGAUGCCGGACUGGCUGGUGCCCCCAGGCCUCGUAAGCCCUGGGCACCUCCCGCACCAGGGGAGGUCUUCUCCCUCCUCCUCGCCCCGAGCUCACGCGAUGGUUUUACACAGAAUCCGCUUGCCUUUUUCCAUCUUCGGUCCCCAGACUGUCAGGAUGAGGACACUGAUCCCGACCUCCUGUGUGUUUGGUGCUCAGGCCGUGACCAGGCCAGGCAGGGUCGAUAAUGUUCCCAGCGUGGGAAUGGAGGUCGCAGUCCCCCUCCUCCAGCCCCCCUUCGCCUCUUACUGUGCGGGGAAUAGACGCUGAUGAGCCGGCAGACGCAGAACCGCGAGCUCGGACUGGCUGCAGCUGCGCAGGCUGCUCUGACUGCGGCUCCGCUCCCGCGGUGGAUCUGGCAGCUUCGGGCACCGGGCUCUAGAACCUCCCAAGCGCGCCCGCGGCUCCGCGCUCCCGGCCCCGCCCUCUCCGCGGCUACCGAAGCAGCGCUCCACCCGGAAAGUUCGGCUCAGCCCGGGCCCCACCCACAAGGACCAGCGGGGGAGCCCGGGGACGUCUAGCCCCUCCCACAGCCUUUGCGCCUCCCCGGCUGGGCUUGCGCAGCUGCGGCAGAGUCUUUUAGUGGAGAGUGAGGGCUGUACCAGCCACCAACGGGAAUCCGGAUUGUCUGCAGCGCUAAGGGCCUUCCUUAAAGACCAGUAUCAGUGUUGACAACCCUGGGGCAACCUGCAGAGCCGUCCCAAAGUUGUCUGUCGUCAAGAAGCAGGGCGUUGAAAAGGGACAUACGACAUCACCUGAUCCCAGACCACAAAUGUCUCCUUGAGAUCUUGGAAUUAAACGGAGCUAGACCACGUGGUCCCUUAAGGCUGCCUCAUCUUAUUUCCCCUCCAUUCCUCUCCAGAUCUUUUCUCCCCCUCUCAGGCCAGGGCGGCGCCCCCUCUGGGGCAGCAGAAGGGAAAAUGAAUCACCAAAGCUAACCACAGCUUCGGGAAGCAGGGUACCGCGGGCCGGCAUCCAUCCCGAGCUUGCCCACUUUGUGUACUGCUCCCUAGGCACUCCGAGGUGACUCACAGCUGGAUUUCAUGGGGCCCACCCAGCAGAAUCCUGGAUGGGUUUUGGGUUUCCCAUCCGAAAAAUAGAUGCCUCUGAUUUCCAGUUAGGGUAAGCAGCUGAACCCCAGGGGCUGGUUCCAAACCCAACUUGCUCCACGUGAGCAAGAACAAGGUCCAUCCUGGGCUAGCCCCUUUGCGGUAAUUGGAUUUCUGGGGAAGCUCCCGCCCACCUGGACAGGCCCCACCCGGCUGUCGCCUAACAAGUACUGGAUGACAACCUGCCUAGAGAAAUAAAAUGGCAAAGCGAGACUGUGUAGCUCGGCCCGCAGCGCCCUCUGGUGGUCGUGACUCCGCACGGUUGCAAGCGUUCCUAAUCCCUUCACUAUGAAAUAAAGGUGAAGUCAGUCAGUUCCCACCGGAGACCUCUGUCCCAGAUGAACCAGGAAUCUACAUUGUCACACUUGCCUCCGAUGAGUUUGAUGCCUGCGGGAGCCCGUAGAUCGCUGCUGAGUAACCCAAGUUGAAGGGCAGCGAGUGUAGAUAGGAGACUUCCAGGAAGAGAACCAAAAUCUGGGGCAUUUAGUUUUUCCAAGAAGAGUUGUGGGAAGGAAACUGAAUCAACCCCCUCCCAUCCCCACACGCGAGCUGUAUUCCUCUGGAAUUUUUAAUCCAUUAUCUACUACGCUUCUUUCAAUUAAAAGGUAUUUCUUCCAA
Molecule: RNA transcript, 6600 nt
Organism: Rattus rattus (black rat)
Lineage: Eukaryota; Metazoa; Chordata; Mammalia; Rodentia; Muridae
Gene: Dusp18
Gene name: dual specificity phosphatase 18
Exons: 4
Source: RefSeq, a predicted model, not a curated record